GCUACACAUGCAGUCGAGCGGGGAGANNGUAGCUUGCUACNNUUGACCUAGCGGCGGACGGGUGAGUAAUGCUUAGGAAUCUGCCUAUUAGUGGGGGACAACAUUCCGAAAGGAAUGCUAAUACCGCAUACGCCCUACGGGGGAAAGCAGGGGAUCUUCGGACCUUGCGCUAAUAGAUGAGCCUAAGUCAGAUUAGCUAGUUGGUGGGGUAAAGGCCUACCAAGGCGACGAUCUGUAGCGGGUCUGAGAGGAUGAUCCGCCACACUGGGACUGAGACACGGCCCAGACUCCUACGGGAGGCAGCAGUGGGGAAUAUUGGACAAUGGGCGNAAGCCUGAUCCAGCCAUGCCGCGUGUGUGAAGAAGGCCUUUUGGUUGUAAAGCACUUUAAGCGAGGAGGAGGCUACUUGGAUUAAUACUCUAGGAUAGUGGACGUUACUCGCAGAAUAAGCACCGGCUAACUCUGUGCCAGCAGCCGCGGUAAUACAGAGGGUGCGAGCGUUAAUCGGAUUUACUGGGCGUAAAGCGUGCGUAGGCGGCUUUUUAAGUCGGAUGUGAAAUCCCUGAGCUUAACUUAGGAAUUGCAUUCGAUACUGGGAAGCUAGAGUAUGGGAGAGGAUGGUAGAAUUCCAGGUGUAGCGGUGAAAUGCGUAGAGAUCUGGAGGAAUACCGAUGGCGAAGGCAGCCAUCUGGCCUAAUACUGACGCUGAGGUACGAAAGCAUGGGGAGCAAACAGGAUUAGAUACCCUGGUAGUCCAUGCCGUAAAC
RNAcentral lists this ribosomal RNA (767 nucleotides) under bacterium 54_oclvp90. Its description in RNAcentral is "bacterial SSU rRNA". It matches the Rfam family "Bacterial small subunit ribosomal RNA", at positions 48 to 807 of the family's 1533-position model. The record is from RNAcentral. RNAcentral also lists the same sequence under 1 other name.